Molecule: long non-coding RNA, 1536 nt
Filed under: Olea europaea (common olive)
Lineage: Eukaryota; Viridiplantae; Streptophyta; Magnoliopsida; Lamiales; Oleaceae
Description: long non-coding RNA (OEUR_LNC010355)
Source: RNAcentral
GUUUUUUCUUGGUGGCUAUGUUUUUAGACUGGUCUGGAUCUCUAUUCAUCUUCCAGAUGUACAAGGCAAUACACUUCAUGUGAUGUUAGGAAUAAUGUAUUUCUAUGAAUUAUUGUAUUCGUGUUUGUUGUGGCUGAUAUUGAAUAUUUAUAGUUCUGGCUGUGUCCUGAAUUCUUGGUGGCUAUGUGUGUGUGUGUGUGUGUUUUUUUUUUUUUAAAAUGCUCUUUUUAUUGUUAAAUCUCAAUCUAUUAGAUUGGGAAAGUUAUCCUUCUUUUUGUUAUUGAUAGGAGGCCAGGUCUUACGCUGAUACGCUCCCUUCAAAGUUUGUAUUUUUUGCUUUAUUUUCUAUAUUGGUAUGAAUAGAAGGGAUGAAAAUGACCUGGGGUUGGUUUGUAGAUGCUGCACCGUGUUGCCUUUCCCAUUCUUCCAGAUAUGUAUUUCUUUGUUGUUUGUCCUCUGAAUCCAACCCAACAGCACACCAAAAGCAUAGGCACUUUCUGUUUCUCACAGAAACAUGCACCGUGAGGAAAAAUUCGGCCAAGAAUACCACAUUGUUUGUUUCUGCCGUGUAAUGCAGAGGAGUAAUCCGAUCCCUUCCCUGAACACGAAUCAGUUUUGGAUUGUGUUUUACAAGCCUUUUUGCAGUCUCAACACGAUUGUUGUGCAAAGCUAGGUGCUAGGGACUAAAACUAUCUGGAUUUAUCUUUUUACUAAACAAAGGUUUUAAGCUCAUGAUUUCGACUGCAAAGGGUGUAUGUCCAGCAGAGGCUGCUGCUAUAUGUAAAGGUUAUCUGACUAAUGGUAUAUUUUAAUGUCUUCUAGAUUCAGGUUCUGCCCAGGGAUUUGAAUACAAACCAUGGACAUCUCCUGCUUGUGCAACUUCUUCCAACAGUGGAUCCUUCCAUUAUAGAGGUGGCUCAAACAAUUUAGGGGCCUUAUCUAGGCUUAGACGACUACCUCACUUGAGCUGCCUCUUAUUGUGCUUAACAGAUUCAGCUCCUAUUAACUAUAAAAGAAAUCAUUAUUGCCUUGAUUUAGCCAAUGGAUUAUUCUACUUGUACUAAAUCAUGUACAAAAAUGGGUUACAAAAUCAAUAAGUGACGGCCCCCUAUUGGAGGGGCGGCUGUCCCAAUAGGGGCCACCAUUUGUUGAUUUUGUAACCCAUUUUGUACUCAUAGCAUGGUCCUUGGCCAAUUUAGUCCCCCGAGUGAAGGAAACUCAAUAGUCAAAGUAGGGGCCAUUGGGUGCUGGCUAGUUUUUUGACCAGAUCCUCCUAAAAACCCCUUUUGAAUGGAAAGAAGUGGGAGAGCGGGAUGAUUUAUCGGAUCUGACAUUGGAUAACCUUUAGCGUGGGGUGGUCAUUGGAGUUUUCCGACCCUCCUCUGAAUAUUGCUUUAUGUUUCUGGAAAGUUAAGAAACUAAAGAUUUAACUAAACAUUACAACCAGUCUAGUUUGUUUCAGCCUUUUAGAUUAUUUAUCAUGAAAUUUUUGGAUUAUGGGCUCAAUACUUUCUGUAGUUUCAGCUAUUCAUUAUC